This 1345-nucleotide long non-coding RNA is filed under the name Homo sapiens (human). RNAcentral describes it as "HSALNT0069894". Lineage: Eukaryota; Metazoa; Chordata; Mammalia; Primates; Hominidae. The record is from RNAcentral.
GGAGAGCAGAAUAAAGGCUGUUGAAUUUGACUUUUACUAUUUUAUUGGCAUCUUUGUCAGUGGGAAGAAAUCAGAUUGAAACUUCUUGAGUGAAAUAUGAACAGGUGAUGUCAAUGAAUAGUGGUUAUUCUUUCAAGGUUGGUAGUGAAGUAAGUCAGUUGCUUUAGGAGGAAGUAAUUGUGAACGCAAGAUUUUUUUGUUUCUUUAUUGUGAUGAAGAGGUGAACCUUUGUUUAUUUCUUAUAGUCCUUCUAUUUUUAUAUACUUUUUGUAAGAAAAAAAAUGCCUGAGCUUUAAUAGGUACAUCAUAUUCCUUGAGCACUUAUUUUGAGUUUGAUAAUAUCACAAUAAUGUUACAACAACAUAAUGAAUUACUGAUAACCCUUCUUACUUUUGUGGUCAACAGACUCUUAAGGUAGUCCCAUGAUCUCUGCCUCAUGGAGUUCAUGUGAUCCCCUCUUCUUGGGUGUAGUUAGGUGUGACUUGCUUUGAACCAAUUGAAGUAGCAAAGGGAAUGGGAUGUACAAGAUUAGGGAUAUGUGAUUAUAUUGUAUUAGAUUGUAGCAUCUUUCUUCCUAGAGUCCCAGUGCCUCUCUCUCUCUUGCUGCCCUCAAAGAGGUUUAACCCACACUGGAAAGCCUCGUGUGUAAAAAAACUACAGGUGGCUUCUAAGAUAUGAGGGUGUUCUCUAGCUAGAAGUUAGGAUAAAACAGAUCUUUGGUCCAACAGCUGCAAGAAACUAAAUUCUGCUAACUCCCUGAACAAGGGUAGAUGCAGUUCAUUCCCUGGUCAUUUCUCAGAUGAGAAUGCAGAUCAGGCCACUUUGAUUCCAACCUGGGAGACUUGAAGUAGAGGACUCAGCUAAGCCAUACCCAGAGUUCUAAUCUGAGUUCUUUUAAGAAACGUGGGUUGUUUUAAGCUCUUAAGCUUGUGGCAAUUUGUUAUACAGCAAUAGAUGAGGCAAAUAAUUUAAAAAUUCAAGCACAGAUAAUUUAUUUGACCAAAGAUAAAACAAUUAGUGUUGGAACCAAGGGUUUGGAAUGAAAAGGAAGUUAUACAGAUCUUGGAUUUGCUAAUUACAAUUAUUUGGAGACAAUUGACCAAACUCAGGCUUUGUUUUCUCAUCUGUAAAAACAAAAAUAUCAAUUUUAGCUUACUUUGAUGAUCAAAUGAUGUGUCAAAUAUACAAAGUCUAAAACCACUUAGACACCUAAUAAGUUGUUUUUCAUCUCUUUUAUUUCUGCAUCAUGUAAUACUUUCUAUAUGAGCAUCACAAUAAUUGAAUGAGCAAUUUCAAUAAUGUUCUAGACUCUAUUUGUUUGUCCCAAGGAAAGCAGCACCUCUUU